ACCGAUUACAAUUUAUUGUAAAUUUAAAAUGAAUUAAAAUAAGUUUAUGAAUCGCAGAUCAUUUUGUGAUGAUAAGAAUGAAUUUCUGCCCUAUCAACUUUCGAUGGUAAUGUAGUGGAUUACCAUGGUGAUGACGGGUAACGGGGAAUUAGGGUUUGAUUCCGGAGAAAAGGCCUGAGAGACGGCCAUUACUUCUAAGGAAGGCAGCAGGCGCGUAAAUUACCCAAUCCUAAUACGGGGGAGGUAGUGACAAGAAAUAUUGAUAUUGGACCCAAAAGGGUACAAUGAUUGAAAUGAGAACAAUAUAAAAAACUUAACGACUAACAAUUGGAGGGCAAGUCUGGUGCCAGCAGCCGCGGUAAUUCCAGCUCCAAGAGUGUAUAUUAAAGUUGUUGCGGUUAAAAAAGCUCGUAGUUGAAUUCUGAAAAUAAUCUUGUGAUUGAUUUAACCGUACUAUAGUAAC
RNAcentral lists this ribosomal RNA (463 nucleotides) under uncultured eukaryote. RNAcentral describes it as "bacterial SSU rRNA". It matches the Rfam family "Eukaryotic small subunit ribosomal RNA", at positions 218 to 682 of the family's 1831-position model. The record is from RNAcentral.